RNAcentral lists this ribosomal RNA (253 nucleotides) under uncultured bacterium. RNAcentral's name for it is "partial 16S ribosomal RNA". It matches the Rfam family "Bacterial small subunit ribosomal RNA", at positions 524 to 776 of the family's 1533-position model. The record is from RNAcentral.
CACGUAGGGGACGAGCGUUGUCCGGAUUCAUUGGGCGUAAAGCGCGCGUAGGCGGCUCGGAAAGUCGGUCGUGAAAUCCCCGGGCUCAACCCGGGAACUGCGUCCGAUACUGGAAGGCUUGAAUCCGGGAGAGGGAUGCGGAAUUCCAGGUGUAGCGGUGAAAUGCGUAGAUAUCUGGAGGAACACCGGUGGUGAAGGCGGCAUCCUGGACCGGUAUUGACGCUGAGGCGCGAAAGCCAGGGGAGCAAACGGG